Molecule: ribosomal RNA, 253 nt
Filed under: uncultured bacterium
Lineage: Bacteria
Description: partial 16S ribosomal RNA
Rfam family: Bacterial small subunit ribosomal RNA
Source: RNAcentral
UACAGAGGGUGCGAGCGUUAAUCGGAAUUACUGGGCGUAAAGGGCGCGUAGGCGGUUCGUUAAGUCCUGUGUGAAAUCCCCCGGCUCAACUGGGGAACUGCACAGGAAACUAGCGGGCUUGAGUUCGGGAGAGGGAAGCGGAAUUCCGGGUGUAGCGGUGAAAUGCAUAGAUAUCCGGAGGAACACCGGUGGCGAAGGCGGCUUCCUGGACCGACACUGACGCUGAGGCGCGAAAGCUAGGGGAGCAAACGGG